Non-coding RNA from Podarcis lilfordi (Lilford's wall lizard), 1500 nucleotides. Lineage: Eukaryota; Metazoa; Chordata; Lepidosauria; Squamata; Lacertidae. The record is from the annotation of a GenBank genome assembly.
CCAGUCCAUCUUCUCCGAAGAUGAUGCAUCUCCGAAGGGAGACGAUUCGACAACCAGGAGCUGGGGAAGGAGGUCAGUCACAGCAGCUGAGACUUCUCGCAGAAGGAGGGGGGAGGGGGAGGGGGAGGGGGAGGGAGGGUGUUGUGGACUUUCUCCUAUCCCGUCGCUAGUUAGGGCUGCGGGGGUGUAGCGGGACUGUGCAUCCUUGCCGGAGACUCGCAAAUCCCGUUCAAAUCGGACCUGGAGGCCAGAGUAAAGUAUGAAUCCAUUGCGGUAUAUUUCUUCCUGUGAUCGCUCCUCCCUCCCCUUCCCAAAAAAACAUAGUGGGAUGUGCAAUCAAGAGAUAGGGAAGGGAAAGGGGGGGAUAAGGAAAGAGGGUGGUCUUUCUGUGUCCGGUGAAUUUCAGGGAGGGGAGGAAGCUGACCUGAAAGCUGGGGAAGCGCAGAUCCUGCUUGGAGUAGCCAAAAAAGGGAGCUGGGAUUACCUCAUCUGAGUUGGAGGCGUAGCUGAGGCUGGCUGCCAGCUUGCAGCCAACCACAUCUGAAUGAAAAUUGCAGAGAGCCUGUUACAUCAGCAUAGCCCAGCAUUCCCUGGUCUUUCGCAGGCAACAGCUGAAUGCUUUCCCUCAGCUGCAUGCGGACCAUUCAACAGAAGAGAGAGAGAGAGCCUUCCUACCUUCCAUUUGAGGAAUGGCAAGAUCCAGCAGGCAUAUUGAUGCUGAGGAUAAAAGGUCCGGCUCACCUGCCUAAGCCCCCCCCCUGCCCCCCCCCCCGCUUCUCUGUUCUGAACGAGGGGAGACCCAUUUUAUUCUUCUGCAGUUUUUUCUACAGAGAGGGUACAUUUCAGUGGAUUUAUCAGGAUGGUGGAGAUAAUUUUAUGCACCACUACUUAAAAAAAAAGGAGGGGCGUUCUGAAUUAGAAUACAGGACUGACAGGGACUCAUUAAUCCCAAUGAAUGCUUAGAAUGUAUAAGAUGCAAGGACGUGCUUCAUGGGAUGUACGAGGAGGUCUCUCUCUCUCUCUCUCUCUCUCUCUCUCUCUCUCUGUGUGUGUGUGUGUGUGUGUGUACAGCCUACAUCCCAUCUGUUGGGUUAUUCAUUAAAUCCAAGGAUGCAAUCCUGCUCCUGCUGAGCUCAAUGGCAAAACUCCCUAGCUUACAAUGGAGAUGGCUUGGAUCCCAAACUCCUAGUGUUGUGAUUGAUUGAUUGAUUGAUUGAUUGAUUGUAAUAUCCUAUGUGACAUCAUACUCUCUUGGACUGAAUAAUUUUGACCUAACCUUUUUUUGUUUCUGCUCCCAGCCCCUUUUCUUUCUGCAGCAAAAGUUGUUUUGUGAAAUAUCGUCUUCAGUGUGACAGCACAGGAUCUUUGAGUGCCAUCCAAGAGUGAAAUACGACUGGAGAACCUGGGAAAUGUGGAUUCUACAGCCAUCCAUCCUGCCCCCUUGAGAUUGCAGAGGAAGAGCUCAGUCUAACCACUGCAAGCCACUCAGUCCACCCAGCC